RNAcentral lists this ribosomal RNA (342 nucleotides) under Lactobacillus delbrueckii subsp. bulgaricus. RNAcentral's name for it is "partial 23S ribosomal RNA". It matches the Rfam family "Bacterial large subunit ribosomal RNA", at positions 615 to 955 of the family's 2925-position model. Lineage: Bacteria; Bacillati; Bacillota; Bacilli; Lactobacillales; Lactobacillaceae. The record is from RNAcentral.
AUGAACCGGCGAGUUGCGUUAGUCAGCAAGGUUAAGUCAGAAAAGACGGAGCCGUAGCGAAAGCGAGUCUGAAGAGGGCGAGCAGUUGGCUGACGCAGACCCGAAACCAAGUGACCUACCCAUGACCAGGUUGAAGGCGCGGUAAAACGCGCUGGAGGACCGAACCCACGUAAGUUGAAAAUUGCGGGGAUGAGUUGUGGGUAGCGGUGAAAUUCCAAACGAACUUGGAGAUAGCUGGUUCUCUCCGAAAUAGCUUUAGGGCUAGCCUCGCAAAGAGGAUGCUGGAGGUAGAGCUCUGUUUGGACUAGGGGCCCGUCAAGGGUUACUGAAUUCAGAUAAACU